UUCCCCUAGUAGCGGCGAGCGAAGCGGGAAAAGCUCAAAUUUGUAAUCUGGCGUCUUCGACGUCCGAGUUGUAAUCUCGAGAAGUGUUUUCCGUGAUAGACCGCAUACAAGUCUCUUGGAACAGAGCGUCAUAGUGGUGAGAACCCAGUACACGAUGCGGAUGCCUAUUACUUUGUGAUACACUUUCGAAGAGUCGAGUUGUUUGGGAAUGCAGCUCAAAUUGGGUGGUAAAUUCCAUCUAAAGCUAAAUAUUGGCGAGAGACCGAUAGCGAACAAGUACCGUGAGGGAAAGAUGAAAAGCACUUUGGAAAGAGAGUUAACAGUACGUGAAAUUGUUGGAAGGGAAACACAUGCAGUGAUACUUGCUAUUCGGGGCAACUCGAUUGGCAGGCCCGCAUCAGUUUUUCGGGGCGGAAAAGCAUAGAGAGAAGGUAGCAGUUUCGGCUGUGUUAUAGCUCUUUAUUGGAUUCGCCCUGGGGGACUGAGGAACGCAGC
RNAcentral lists this ribosomal RNA (495 nucleotides) under Sporobolomyces pararoseus. RNAcentral's name for it is "eukaryotic LSU rRNA". It matches the Rfam family "Eukaryotic large subunit ribosomal RNA", at positions 75 to 599 of the family's 3401-position model. The record is from RNAcentral. Lineage: Eukaryota; Fungi; Basidiomycota; Microbotryomycetes; Sporidiobolales; Sporidiobolaceae.